This 435-nucleotide ribosomal RNA is filed under the name uncultured bacterium. RNAcentral's name for it is "partial 16S ribosomal RNA". It matches the Rfam family "Bacterial small subunit ribosomal RNA", at positions 29 to 507 of the family's 1533-position model. The record is from RNAcentral.
AGCGAACGCUGGCGGCAUGCUUAACACAUGCGAGUCGCACGGAUCUUUCGGGAUCAGUGGCGGACGGGUGAGUAACGCGUAGGGAUCUAUCCAUGGGUGGGGGACAACUCCGGGAAACUGGAGCUAAUACCGCAUGAUACCUGAGGGUCAAAGGCGCAAGUCGCCUGUGGAGGAACCUGCGUUCGAUUAGCUAGUUGGUGGGGUAAAGGCCUACCAAGGCGAUGAUCGAUAGCUGGUUUGAGAGGAUGAUCAGCCACACUGGGACUGAGACACGGCCCAGACUCCUACGGGAGGCAGCAGUGGGGAAUAUUGGACAAUGGGCGAAAGCCUGAUCCAGCAAUGCCGCGUGUGUGAAGAAGGUCUUCGGAUUGUAAAGCACUUUCGACGGGGACGAUGAUGACGGUACCCGUAGAAGAAGCCCCGGCUAACUUCGUG